GUACUUACUCCUACGGGAGGCAGCAGUGGGGAAUAUUGCACAAUGGGCGGAAGCCUGAUGCAGCGACGCCGCGUGAGGGAUGACGGCCUUCGGGUUGUAAACCUCUUUCAGUAGGGAAGAAGCGAGAGUGACGGUACCUGCAGAAGAAGCGCCGGCUAACUACGUGCCAGCAGCCGCGGUAAUACGUAGGGCGCAAGCGUUGUCCGGAAUUAUUGGGCGUAAAGAGCUCGUAGGCGGUUUGUCGCGUCUGCUGUGAAAGCCCGGGGCUCAACCCCGGGUCUGCAGUGGGUACGGGCAGACUAGAGUGCAGUAGGGGAGACUGGAAUUCCUGGUGUAGCGGUGAAAUGCGCAGCUAUCAGGAGGAACACCGAUGGCGAAGGCAGGUCUCUGGGCUGUUACUGACGCUGAGGAGCGAAAGCAUGGGGAGCAAACAGGAUUAGAAACCCCGGUAGUCCAGGCAU
Molecule: ribosomal RNA, 461 nt
Filed under: uncultured bacterium
Lineage: Bacteria
Description: bacterial SSU rRNA
Rfam family: Bacterial small subunit ribosomal RNA
Source: RNAcentral